AGGUGACCUGCGGAGGAUCAUUACCGAGUGAGGGCCCUCUGGGUCCAACCUCCCACCCAUGUUUAUUGUACCUUGUUGCUUCGGCGGGCCCGCCUCACGGCCGCCGGGGGGCUUCUGCCCUCUGGCCCGCGCCCGCCGAAGACACCAUUGAACACUGUCUGAAGAUUGCAGUCUGAGCAAUUAGCUAAAUAAGUUAAAACUUUCAACAACGGAUCUCUUGGUUCCGGCAUCGAUGAAGAACGCAGCGAAAUGCGAUACGUAAUGUGAAUUGCAGAAUUCAGUGAAUCAUCGAGUCUUUGAACGCACAUUGCGCCCCUUGGUAUUCCGGGGGGCAUGCCUGUCCGAGCGUCAUUGCUGCCCUCAAGCACGGCUUGUGUGUUGGGCCCCGUCCUCCUUCCCGGGGGACGGGCCCGAAAGGCAGCGGCGGCACCGCGUCCGGUCCUCGAGCGUAUGGGGCUUUGUCACCCGCUCUUGUAGGCCCGGCCGGCGCUUGCCGACAACCAUCAAUCUUUUUUCAGGUUGACCUCGGAUCAGGUAGGGAUACCCGCUGAACUUAAGCAUAUCAAUAAGCGGAGGAAAAGAAACCAACAGGGAUUGCCUCAGUAACGGCGAGUGAAGCGGCAAGAGCUCAAAUUUGAAAGCUGGCCCCCUCGGGGUCCGCAUUGUAAUUUGCAGAGGAUGCUUCGGGAGUGGCCCCCAUCUAAGUGCUCUGGAACGGGCCGUCAUAGAGGGUGA
This 735-nucleotide ribosomal RNA is filed under the name fungal sp. Its description in RNAcentral is "eukaryotic LSU rRNA". The stretch from base 521 to 735 matches the Rfam family "Eukaryotic large subunit ribosomal RNA", at positions 1 to 215 of the family's 3401-position model. Lineage: Eukaryota; Fungi. The record is from RNAcentral.